RNAcentral lists this long non-coding RNA (487 nucleotides) under Triticum aestivum (bread wheat). RNAcentral describes it as "long non-coding RNA (TAES_LNC015169)". The record is from RNAcentral. Lineage: Eukaryota; Viridiplantae; Streptophyta; Magnoliopsida; Poales; Poaceae.
UCAUCCUCUGGGCUCGGAGGAAUCCUCCUCCGCAUAUGAUGGCAACUCCUUCGCCCCUCCUUCCAAAAUGGAAUGAUUCAUGUCGUCCCGUGGUCACUUAGUGCAUGGAUGUCCUUUCUGUGCUGGUGGGUGUUCCCAUCGUGAUAAAGACUCUUCAUCAUUAAGGUAACAAUAACAAAGUAACACUGUAGAUUGAUUCUUCACAAUAUACAUCCUUUUUUCUAAACUGAAAUAACUAAUGCACAUCUGCAGACAUAAGUUGUGGAUCAUGGAACCUGUGUUGAUGGCCAGAUAUGUCACAAAACCGUUAGGUUAAUUUGCUCUCUUUUUUUGUGGGAAAGUUAAUUUGCUCUUAUCCAUGAAAUGUAAUUGAGAUCUAUAGAAUGCAGAUCAGAUGCACCAAGAAAGUAAAGAUUGUGUUGUCACAAACUAUGAUCUGAUGUAGUGAUAUUUUGUUGCUUUUUGGUGAAUCUGAACUAUAUUACGU